Molecule: non-coding RNA, 478 nt
Organism: Plutella xylostella (diamondback moth)
Lineage: Eukaryota; Metazoa; Arthropoda; Insecta; Lepidoptera; Plutellidae
Source: RefSeq, a predicted model, not a curated record
CAUUGGUGGCUAUAUUGUUUAUAAAAGUUUGUUUUUCAUUUAUGAAUCACGGAAUUAUUCGCAGGAUGAGACAUAAAUCUGUAACUUUACACAACAAUGAUCUUUGUCAGUAAAAUGUGUCAAAAAAUUAAGAACAUCAAAUUAUAACCAAUAAAAAAGUAAUGUUUGUAAACAAAAUUCUAGCAUAAUAUAGAUAAUAAUUAAAUUAAACGAACAAAACUCGUGAAGACUCAACUUUUUCGCAAGCAAUUUCAAUUGUAUCUCUACUACUAAAAGCCCUAACAUAAAUAUUCUCAACCUUUGAACAUGUGAACAUGGCUAUAAUACAAAGAGGCGAGGUGAUCGGCAAUAGCUGGAUGUCUGGAAACAAGGUCAGGUUCUUGAUAGGUUGUGCUAUCUGUGUAAUUUUUGUUUCGAUUGUGUUAGUCGCUAUUUUCGCGUUUGUAGAGGUAUAAUGAAUAAAGACAUGGAUAAUUGA